This is a long non-coding RNA of Seriola aureovittata, 1852 nucleotides long. RefSeq lists it as uncharacterized. The transcript is spliced from 3 exons. Lineage: Eukaryota; Metazoa; Chordata; Actinopteri; Carangiformes; Carangidae. The record is from RefSeq and is a predicted model, not a curated record.
GCGCCGGUUCUGAAUCCUGAACCAGUAGAUGACGAAAGACCCGAUCCACCUUAGUCCGAUCCUGAACCGGAAUAUGGUGACAGACCCGAUCCACCUUCACAAGCUGGACUGGAGCAGAAAACAAGCGUACCCACCGUCAUGAAUCAGAAGGAGGGAAAUGGCAGAGAUGAGGAGCAAAGUUCUGGGGACUGUCUGCUACAGACCUCACAUGACGAUAUUCAUCACCUGGAAUACUUUCAUGAAGAAACACUUUGAUGUAUCUAUGUUUCACCUGUGGACUCUUCCGGACUAAAGGAAUAUAAAUAAUAGAGGAACAGACAGAUGGUCCGACUUCACCUCCAGCUUCUAAAGGUUGAGCUCAGCUGUGAUCCAGAUCUCUCGGAGAGCUUCAAACAGAGUCCAGACUGAGAGGAAGUCGACCAUCUAGAUGUUUGUCUCUUUUCCUGUCACAUGACCACUCGUCCACCGACACUGUGGAAACACAACAACACCCUUCACACGGUGUCACAGUCUGCAGACACACUGAGCUGCUGCUGCAGAGACCGAGGGAAAGAAAGAACAUACAGAUAAACAGAUUAUUUCACCUCUAAAUACAAGUCAGAGUGAAGUGUGGCGUUGGAUUUCUGUAUUUCCCUGAAUGCAUUGUGUACAAACACAAUUAUUUUAAUCAUGUUUUGUUUCGUUUUCUUCUUUUUCUCUGAUCUUCGGCUCACUAUCUGCAGUUCCUCCUUUACCUUUAUGCAUUUCUUUAUUUUAAACUGUUUAUAAUUCCAGAGCUCUUCAGAGCACAUGCAGGUCCCGGGUAUUAUUGUAAAGAUAAGAUACUCUGGACUUUUAUUGUGCAGGUUUUUCUUUCUCCUCGUCCCUCACUGUGGAGCUGGGGAGGUUUUAGAAACAGACAAAGAUUGAUGCGCUCUGUUUUUCUGUAACAGCCAUAACACAGGCAGUGAAGUUGAAAUUGAGAUUGGACAGACGUGACUCAGAGUUCUGAGCAUCAACAGAAACUAAACAUCCUCAAACACUGAAAAUUCACCUGAAUGUUACGCUGACUCAGUCACUUGAAUUUGUCUGAACUGGUUUUGUUCUGGACGUUUAUAUUACGACAUACAAGGAAACUAACUACCUUCAGUCCUCUCACUUUUAUUUUGGUAAUAACACGGGACUUUUGUUUUUGUCCUUGGGUGUUUUUUUUUUUAACUCACAAAUGACGUUUUACUUUGGCGGGACAAGAUAACUGCAACCCAGAAACCCAGGAUGUUGACUAUUUAUAUUUAUUAUACAUUUAUUUUUUCAUUUUACAUUCAAUAUGAAACAUAUGAAUUCAUGAAUUGUGAAUCUGAACAUUAUAAGUGUAACAUGAGGGAUUGAUAUGUGGCGGUCUGGAUCAUGUUUGAUAAAAGAAACAGCUGGAUGGAGACAGAUUGAGUUCACUUUUCUCCGCACUUCGUCUUCUUCACAACAACAACAACACUUCCUGUCUCUAAGUCACAUGUCACUAAACAAACCAAUCAGAGGCUAGAAGGACUUGGGCUCAUUUGAAUAAGUGGAAAACUACAGAGAGGGAUUCAGGAGGUUCCUGUAACUGCAGAUGUAAAUAUUUAAACUUGUAAAUAUGUAAAUGUUAAUGCAAUAAUUGUGUAAACAUAAAUAUGUAAAUAAUUAACAGUAUAAACAAUGUAAAUCUAUUUUUAGCAAAUGACCUCACAUAUACAGUAUGAAUUAACAUGUAGAGCUUACAUGAGGUUAAAGCGUCCACAGUGCUCCGACAGGAAAUGUGACUGUGUUCACUUCGACUCCUUUCACUCAUUUUCAGGGUGUAAAAUAAACAUUUCCUCUCAUGCAGCUCGAUCCA